Chelonia mydas (Green sea turtle) is the source of this 3237-nucleotide long non-coding RNA. RefSeq lists it as uncharacterized. The transcript is spliced from 3 exons. Lineage: Eukaryota; Metazoa; Chordata; Testudines; Cheloniidae. The record is from RefSeq and is a predicted model, not a curated record.
UGAUAUAAAGCUAGGAAUCUGGCAACAGAAAAGGGCUAUAGGGGAAAUAGUCUGUAGUCACUCCUAGGAGAAGGGAGAUGUGUCUGAGGCUAUAGUGCUAGGUAGCCUGCAAUUAUUACUCCCUGGGAGAAGGGACAUUAGGCUGGUAAAUCCAGAAGGCUAGGGGAGCCAUAAGAUAGAGUUGAGAUGUAGGAAGGUGUCUGGGGAAGAGUAACAAUACCUAGCAGUGAGCAGGUCACUGUCCCUAGAGAUAAGAGUCCAUAGACUGGAACCUGGAGUAAGUGGCUGGGGUGACUUCCCCCACUAGCCACUGAAGAAGUAGCACAGUCAGGGCAGUGAAAGGAACACUGCUAUUUUGUAUAGAGAGCCUUUCCUACCCCAGAAGGGGAGGACUAUUGCCAGAUUACUAGAGGGCUGAGUUGUGAAGGAGCACCCUGAGUCCCAGAGAAAAAGAAACAGGGAGAGGGACUGACCAAAGGGGUUGUUGGAGCUGCAAAGAGCUAAUCCCCAGAGCAACCAGGAGGGGGUACCCUAGCUGCAGGAAGAGUGGUUCCCUCACCCAUCAAGGACUAUCAAAAGUAAAUGGGCCACGGUAGGACAAAAACUCCAUUGAUUUGCCCCAUUAACCCAUGAAGUUAUGAGCAGGAGCCCUCGUCUCAAAAGUUUGAGCUCUGGGAGAAGGGCAUAUAAAGAUACUCACAAGAAGAAAUAGUUCUCUCCUGCUGUUUGGACUCUUAAAAGGGCUGGAGCUGAGAAACGAAAGUAAAGAUCUCCAGUGUCAAGAUGGGUUAGUUCUAAGAAUCUCAGUGGAGAGAUUACUACAGAAUGUCUCAAUCAAGGGCAAAGCCUCAAACACAUCUCCAGGAUGCAAAAUAACAGACCUACUCCAGCCCUCCUCUAGAGGUGAAAUGAUUGGCAGUCUACUGACAGGCCCCAAAGGAUGUUCAUUUUUUCACUCUCUUGCAGUGAGUGGCAAAACUCCUCUGCACUCCAGUGGGAAUAGGAUCGGGCCUGUAAAGUAAUCAUGAAGAUCUUCCCUACUUAGAUGCGGGUAGGGACUGUCUCUGUUCUGUGUUUGUACUGCACCUAGAACAAUGGGGUCUUGAUACUAGUAAUAUUAAGCAGAUGAGACACACACCUGUCAGCUAAACUGUAGCAAGAUGUGGUUUAGAAAAAUAGAUACAGACAACAGGGAUGCUGAGGCUGCCAGAGUUCAAACUCCCAGGAGCCUGGGUAGGGCAUUCUUUUGCCUACUGUGGAUCUCUCUAUCACUAGAGAUCAACUGAGCUGCAGUCCCAUUAAGGACUUGAUCCCAAGCCUAUUGCAGUCAGGAGGAGUGCUAAGAGCAUAAUGCAAGACUCCCCUUUAUAUGAAUGUAAACAGGGAUUCACGGGAAAAUCAAGAAAUCAAAGGGAUGGGCACAGAAUAUGGCCCUAACUAGACUACAGUGUUAAUGCCUGUAUGUGAGACACAGAUAACUGCACUUAUGGGUGAACUAGAAAUUCAUAGCUAGUUAGAUCAGAUUAGAUCUUAAGACAUGUGGCAUGUAUUAAAGUUAAUUGGUUGCACAAAGGAAGAGGUAGCAAUCCAAGCUCAGCUACAUUUUGUUGCAACAUUUCUCCACCAUCCUAUAAUUUAUCAGAAUUCAAACAGAACAAAUCAAUAGUAUGACCCUCCAAAUUCAGAUUUGACACCCCACCUGCCAUUUGGAGAAAGCAGACGAGACUAUGGAAGUCUGUGUUCAGCUAAUUGUUACUGCAGAUAUCAAAUGCUGAAUAUCCUGCCCCAAUAAGAUUUCUGUCAAACUCCGUGUGUUCUGUGAAAUCAUGUGUUUGAAGUCUAAGUCAAAUUACCAUCUUUCCUUUGGUUUCCCACUGGUUCUUUGUUCCUGGGAACUCUGUUGGAUCAUGUGGUGAUAAACAGAUUUCUCAGGGGGGCCAGGCCAGAACAGCCUUGUAGGACAUGAAAUGAAGCCUUGAAAUGAUGUCUCAUAUUAUUGCCAAUGAUAUCUGCACAGUUCUACUGUUCAUAUUAAAUCAUUUAAAUAUUUAACAUGCUUCCCCAGAAUAAAGUGCAAACCCAACAACAGUUACCGACAGCUGCAGGUGGAUCCAGAUCAUAUAACUUGGGGGCUUAAAGGGAAAGAGACCAUAAUUUUACACUGGGAAAACUCCACCUCUGAAUGUGUGACCUGCUCCUAGGGGCUUCUGAGGAUUAAGAGACACUUGUAUCCCCUUGUCUUUAAUUUCAUUGGGCAGAGGCAGACCCUGAAAAUAUCAUUUCUAAAUUGUGCUGAUUGUGCAACAGCCCCACAUGCUACUCCCAAACAAAGAAAGCGACAGGCCUGCAACUGAUCAACCACCAUGACUUGAGAGUAUCACCUGUGUCCGCCUCAGUCUGUUUAAUGCCCAGACAGGAAAAUGACCAACAAUUUAGUGGAUUCAAUCAGUGUACUAACCUUGACCAUUCCAGAAGGGAAAAUAUGACAGAUCGGCCCCUAUGCUCCCCUACCUUAAACAUAAACCCCCUAGAGUGCAUCCCGGAGAGAUGCAGCAAAUUUGGCUGUAUUGGGAAUUUGCUGCUGCUUCUCUCUCUCUUUCUCUCCCCCCCCCCCCCCCCCCCCCCCCGCCUGGGAAGCAUUCCCAGUGAAAUCUUUCAUAUUCCUAAAGUGCAGUAAGGCUAGGACUCACUAAAAAGCAUGGAAUUGGCACAAGGGUGAGGAAGCUGCAAGAUCCCCCAGUUAGAUUCAUAGCUUUGGUUGGGGUGCCAACAGGGUGGGAGUAUUUGAUAUUCCCCUUUUAUGAAAGGUAAUUACAAAACGACACUGCCCGCUCCUCGCCGCCGCCUCCUCUGAUCCCUCUGGGCAGCGCCCCCUAGCGAUUAUCAGCCAGAUGUGCCAUUUUCCAAUAAACAAAGCGGUACCCCUGAAAUCAACUUUGAAUUUUUUUUUUAUUCUCCUUUGGUGCUUGUUUCCCCCCCCCCCACACACACACACUUCCCAGCCCUGGGGGUUUGAUUCGCAAAGCAUAGAGCGGUGCAAACCACCCUGCUUAUUCAGCAAUCUCCAAGGAAAGGCAGAACGAAUGCCUGGCUGGCAAAGGGUUUUCCUGCACUGUACAACAGAGGAUCGCAAUUUUUUCCCCCAUACUGUAAUUUUCCCACGGUGUAAAUACGGCUUGAUCCAUGCAAUAAUCCUUCCCCUUCUGCGCCCCCACCCCCCAGUCCAGCCAAAAGAAC